UUUCCGUAGGUGAACCUGCGGAAGGAUCAUUACCGAAUUGUCAAACGGGUUGUUGCUGGUCCUCAAACGGGGACAUGUGCACGCUCUGUUUACACAUCCACUCACACCUGUGCACCCCCCGUAGUUCUAUGGUCUGGGGGACCCCGUCUUCCUGCCGUGGUUCUGCGUCCUUACACACACGCUGUAACAAAGUCUUAUGGAAUGUAUGCCGCGUCUAACGCAAUACAAUACAACUUUCAGCAACGGAUCUCUUGGCUCUC
Molecule: unclassified non-coding RNA, 260 nt
Filed under: plant metagenome
Description: partial contains small subunit ribosomal RNA, internal transcribed spacer 1, and 5.8S ribosomal RNA
Source: RNAcentral